This is a long non-coding RNA of Polistes dominula (European paper wasp), 5874 nucleotides long. The record is from RefSeq and is a predicted model, not a curated record. NCBI's taxonomy places the organism in Eukaryota, Metazoa, Arthropoda, Insecta, Hymenoptera, Vespidae.
UGACGGUCCUUCUAUUUUACCUUCCUACUUACUUACUAUAUAUAUAUACUUUAUCUUUUUGGUCUACAGUCGUUAAAAAACAUCCUACGUAUAUAGUGAUUAUCUUAAAGGGCUUUUCAACUUCUUAACCCCCUGUGAUCUUUCUACCCUCGAAACAUAAAUUCCAAAGGCGAUCGAGAGAUUUCUACAAAGGUUCGUUCAAUCGUCGAAGGUCCGUAAGCCCCCAAAAGUCGUUUCGAUGCCGAAGUGAUACAUCGUGCGAAAAAGUUUCAACCCUCGAGAAAAGAGAAAAAGAUCGAAGGGUUGGUUCAUCAUAGAACUAGGAUCAUCAUGGCCCUUUCGUGGACAAGAACAAGGCAAUUCAACACUAACUUUCACCUGAAGAAGUGACUACAGCGACAUGUAUGGGAAAAGGGAGCACGGUCUGAGCCCACAAUGGAUCCUAGAGAAAUAAGCGAGAGAAACUUGCCGGUGAUGGAGUUGCGCCAAGUUCCGGACGAAGGAAAAGCAGCAACGAGCACAGAUUUCUAUCACGAGUUGCAUUCUACUGGAAUACGGCGAAUACGCGCAUCAAAUAUUAAUAUAUUUUCUUUCGAAGCAUUCAAGCUUCUUAUUUAUAUAUGAGCCUCUCUCAGUUGACAAGUGAAUCAAGUACACUUUUCUAGUAUAUUGAAACUUUUACGAAAUAACUGUACAAACAAUUAGAAACAUAAAAUGUAACUUUAUUAUGAUAGAAUUAAUUGAAAUUGUGGUAUUUAUAAUAAUAUAACAUAAAAUAAAAAAAAAAAUUGUGAAAUGUGAAAUAUAAAAGUUGUUCGAUUAAAAAGAUCACGAGACAUACGAGCAAAUAUAAGGGAGGAAUUAUUUGUCGGGCAUCGACGUUGAAGAACCAAAGGUGACCCAUCAUAUUGCGUCAUUUCAAGCUGGGAGGUAAUCGUGGGCGAACUAUACUCGUCGUGGCUAAAAUAACGUGUAGGAGUGCUUGUUAGAAAUAGUCAGACGUGAUUAAUUCGAACCGAGUCUGCUAAGAUUUCGUUCAUCUCACUGUCUACAUCUUAUUUAAAUCAUACGAAUAUCAAGUUUCUUUACUUUCCUAUUUUUUUAAAUAACUAUCCACAAUAUUUAUUUCAUCCUCUUUUAUGUUACUAGAAAUGUCGUACUUUUGUAUUUAUUUUCGUUCGACUAACGAGCUUACUAUUUAAAUUGAAAAAAUUUGUAAUUUUAAUUAAUGUUUCGAAUACAUGUGGAUAUUUCCAUAGCACAGAUCCAAAAUCAAAUCGUUUAUUUCCAGUAUUCUCUUGGAUGAUAAUGAUACAACAACGUUCUCUUUUACUCGUCCCAUAGUCAAGAUAUGUACACGUAUGCAUAUAAAUACCUAUGUACCUAUUAACGAUCGCAUUAGAAAUUCGAAGUAGAUAGGAGGCAAUGGUACGAGCCCAAACGAGUCCAGCAUCGAAGCUAGUGGAGCAACCCUAUAUAGGAUGCGACCGAGUAGUGUAAGCACUUAAUAUACGCAGCACCGUUUUCUCAUCGAUGGAUGCGAACCAGUCGUGCAGACAGCUAAUUGAAAAUUACAAUAGAACACUUCUCGAUAAAGUUACAACGAAUUUGAUUCCAGGUAUAGUAUUUUUAUAGCAUAAAUAUUUUAUCUUCGUAGAUAAAGACAUUUACAUUUUACGAGUCACAUUGAUAUUCAGAUUAUAUUUAGGUAAGGAUAACGAGAGAUAGAAAUAAUUAUGGCGACCUAGUCACAAAUGUUUUCAACGAUUAUUCGUGAUCGUUCCUAACGAAAAUGCGAUAGUUUUUAGACGAUGAAACAACAUUAAACUGCUACCAUAUCUACUUCUCUAUUCUAGGCUUUUUAGCGCAACGCUGGAACGAAGAAACUUUGAAUUCCAGACGUUGCGUGUACUCGAGCUCGUUCAACUCUGCAUUACGACUUUUCUACACGCAAACGUUAGGACGACCGUCCUAACCGACCAAUUUUCUCUCUUGUGUUUCCACGCUCAUCUUUUACGUCGUUAUCGAGUACAUUAUGCAUUGCAUCCGUUAAUGAAAAUCACGUUGUUACACGGUCCACCCCUCUCUCUCUUCUUUCUUAUACUCCACUUGUAAAUACUAGGAAAGUGAGAAACUUCGGUAGAAGGGGAAAAGAAAAUUAACGCUGGCGUUGAAACAUAUUUUUUGAGUGCUAAAGUUGGAGAAGUUGUAAUACAACUCUACCCACUUCUCGUAUUUCUUUGCUGGUAAGACUAAUAUUGGGAGGAUUUGUAAACGGUAGUUAGUGAAAUUCAUUUUCAAGAGAUACGAAUGCACUAUCUGGAAGAUUAAAACUUAAAUAAUUUUAUGUGCAUGAGAAUUAACCGUAUAGAGUUAGAUAUGAGGUUUAUAUGGGAGCAGAAAUGUAUAUAAAAUAAAAAGAAGAGAAGAACGAAGAAAUGACGAAUAUUUGUUAGGGGGAUUUAAAAUUGCAAAACCCAUGCACAUAUACUGGCGUUGUAUAUAUACGAGCCAAAGAGAAAGAAAAAGUAAGAAAGGGAAUGUCUCAGUUAUACACCCCUUAUAUAGUAUCAAAUAAAGACGAAUUCACGUUAUACCUUUGGUUUGGAAAUAAAUCAUUUUAAAGGAUCCGGAAAACGGAAAUAGAAUUCCAACGAGAUUAAAUUUACAGGAAACAGCAGAGGUAGCAUUAUGGGUAGAGGUUAGCGACCUCUUGACCUCGUAGCUCGUUAUUUCGACACUUUAUGAUUCUCCCAAGCGGUGUUUCGAUCGAACGAGACACGGGUUGUCACGGGUCAAACGUUUAGAGUAUAAUAGCGUAUCUAAUAAUUUGACAAAAAUUCACGGUGUUCUUCUUCCAUCGUAAUAGGAAAAAAAGAUCGUUUGCGAAAGGGGUAGCGCCAGAGCGGAGUCGUAGGAAGAGAAAAAUCUCGGUCACGUUUUCCAGAAAGAAAUCGAUAGUUCCUUUUCGAUCGUCCGGCAUAGCGGUUUGCGAGAAGGGGAAAGGGAAGGGGUUGCAAUGGAGAGAGCGCAUAGAACGGCAGUCGCAUCAACGGAAUCCGCGAGGAAGGUAGGAAGGAAGGAAGGAAGGAAGGAAGAAGCGCUUUGGCGGGGGGUGAGUUCAGCAAAGGGUCGACUUUCGGUCGACUCUCGGUCGACUCUCGUUCGACUAUCGUUCGACUAUCGUUCGAGGGGUCGGUGUUAUUCGGGUUGGCUCGGGUGGCCGGCGCCUACGUCGGCGUCGACUUCAGCGUUGAGUUCGGCGCCAGCGUCGACGCCGGCGUCCUCCCCUAGCCCUGACGUAGCAAGAUGGCGGCGGCGUGUCGGAGGCGUCUCCGUCCGCACAGUGCUCACCGUCGAGCAGUCCGCGGAUGUCCGUAACAACGUUCCAUCAGCGUAUCAUCGGCGCAUCAGCGGCGCGUCCUCGGCGCAUCGUCGGCGCAUCGUCGGCGUAAUUUCGAUGUUGUUGUUCGCGGGUUCCCAUCGUUCCCGCGUCCUACGGUGCCUUUCCUGUCUCUCCAAGCCGGGGAAUAGUAGCUGCCACCAGCGUCACCAUCUUCAACGACGGCUGCAACCACGGCUGCAACUACGGCUGCAACCACGACGAGGAAGACAAGUCCCUCAAGAAAAGACGAUAUCUCCCUAAAGCCGCGGCCGCUCGAAUAAGUCACCACGAUAUAACGACGAGGACCAAGACUCGCUACUUUAACACGCUACUACGAACGGAAAGAAAGAAAAGCUCUAGCUCUUUUCUGUAUGCGUUUGUGCGUGCGUGCGCGCGCGCGCAUGUGUGUGUGUAUGCAUUUGCCUGUAUGUGUCUGCUGGAUGCGCGUGUGUGUGUGUAAGUGUGUGUGAGGGAGGGAGGUAGAAAAACGGUGUGACUCCUACGCUCGCCCACCACCGACGUCGUUUCUUCUCAUUCUACCGAGCGCGUUUCUACCUUCGUUCUUCUCUUGACUCUCCUCAUCCUUCCCCCACCUCCCACCUGCCUCUCCGUCCAAUCCAACCACCCUCGUCCACCCCCGAACCCUCAACUCCGUUACCCUCCGUCGCCAUCCUCUUUUUUUUUCUCAGGCGGGCACACACGUACGGAAGUGUAGCGAACGUUUGCGAACGAACGAAUACGUGGGGGUACACGGAAAUCCUCGUAAAGUCUUCACGCAUUGGAUAUCUUUCUCAUCUGGUCCCUCUCGAUUUCCUCGCCGCGUUUCUAUUUCCCUAAGGAUUUUCUUUCAGGAAAGUGCGCCGGGUUGAAAUGCGUUUAAGCGAUCGAGGUAGCACGAAACGACGCGAGAGUGGACGCGAGGGUAGACGCGAGGGUGGUCGUGAGGGAGGACGCGAGGGAGGACACGAGAGAGGAGGAAGGUGGUUCGAGGUAGCUUGACGAGCGCACGAGAUCACUAGGGUGCCGCGAGAGCCGGCGUGUUCAGGCCGCCUUUUGCUACUAUGAUAGUAACGAGAAGCUUCUUACGGUGGGCGCUCCUCCUGAAGCGAGCGGCGCUCGGCCGAGUCUCUUCUUCCACCUCCUCCUCAUCCUCCUCCUCCUCCUCCUCUUCAUCUUCCUCUUCUUCCUCUUCCUCCUCUUCCUCCGCUUCCUCCUCCAGUUCGGAGGACGACGUUGGACGACGAUCAAGAGGACGCGAUAAUAAACGAGAGGAAAACGUGCACCGACGGCGAGCGAGCACCAACGAAUCUGUCGCUAAUAAGGCGAUGUUGCGUUUCUGCCCUCGGAAAUCUAAAGAGCAAAACGAUCAUCAGAGAGAUUAUUACGAGAAAGAUUACGAGAGAGAUUAUCAAGGCGAGUGGCCGCCGGCUAACAAGGAUUAUCCGAACGCCGAGCGUCCCAGCGAGAUUCUUCUUCUCCCCAUCGACCUUCAAUCGAGCACGACUACUAGCCGCUAUUAUCGUUUUUCUUCUUCUUAUUAUUAUUACAACAACAAUUAUUGUCGUUGCUAUAGCCGUGAUCGAGCUUUCAUCGUUGACCGAGCGAAAAGCACGCAUCAGAUAUCGAAGGCUAGGAAGUCGCUAAGAUCGAAACAUAAUUCGUCGGGAGCAAGGAUAAAGCACGAGGAUAAAAGCAAGUUUUUUGGUGUCGAUGCACCGGCUUGCGCGUGACCAAGAGCCGGUCCUCGUUACUACUACUUCUAUCAUCACGCUACGCGCCCUAUCAGUCGAAGCGCGAUCAUCCGAACGACCGACACCAACUGUCGUGUCUUUUUACCUUCGUUUUCUCCUUAAUACUUGUGCAAGCACGACCUAAUCGAAUAUCGAACUAAAACUAGCGAUUUUUCUUCCUCGAUUUUACCUCUUCAAUUUCGUUUAUUAUCUCUCUCUCUCUUGUCUAAACGUUAUCGAAACUACACGAGGUGCGUUAUCAUUGCGCCGCGUUUGUACUCUUACAAAAGUGAUGACUUUUCUCAAGGCUGCCCCGUACCGGUAAACGAUAUUCUUUAAAAACGCGAGUGCUGGCAAAAUAUAAAAAGGGACAGGGAGAAAGAGAGACUGAAAAAACACGAUAGACCAUUUCUCUAUUGUAAUUUCUUAAAACGUGGACGCAUUGUCUUCUUAUUGUGUAAAGAGAGAGAGAGAGAGAGAGAAAAGUGAUAGAGAUAGGGUGUAUGAGAGAGAGAGUGUGUGUGUGCAUAGUAGGGAAAUACGAGAGGAACGCCUUCGGAAGUAUCAUUCUUUCUCUUUCUAAUCGCGUUCUACUCUCUUCCAAUCCUCCUCACUCUAUUCGCCUAACUUCCUCGUAGCUACCCCCUCCCCCUUCACCGCCAUAUGCCACUGAAUUUCAAACCAUAGCGUAUAUAUGUUUAUCGUAUUUCCUUUCUUUAUCUAUGACUGUAUAUGUAUGCCUAUGUAUAUAAGUGCACG